CCUACGGGUGGCAGCAGUGAGGAAUAUUGGUCAAUGGACGAGAGUCUGAACCAGCCAAGUAGCGUGAAGGAUGACUGCCCUAUGGGUCGUAAACUUCUUUUAUAAAGGAAUAAAACGAGGCACGUGUGCCUUUUUGCAUGUACUUUAUGAAUAAGGAUCGGCUAACUCCGUGCCAGCAGCCGCGGUAAUACGGAGGAUCCGAGCGUUAUCCGGAUUUAUUGGGUUUAAAGGGAGCGUAGAUGGGUUGUUAAGUCAGUUGUGAAAGGUUGCGGCUCAACCGUAAAAUUGCAAUUGAUACUGGCAGUCUUGAGGACAGUUGAGGUAGGCGGAAUUCGUGGUGUAGCGGUGAAAUGCUUAGAUAUCACGAAGAACCCCGAUUGCGAAGGCAGCUUACUAAACUGUGACUGACAUUGAUGCUCGAAAGUGUGGGUAUCAAACAGGAUUAGAUACCCUUGUAGUC
Molecule: ribosomal RNA, 460 nt
Filed under: uncultured bacterium
Lineage: Bacteria
Description: partial 16S ribosomal RNA
Rfam family: Bacterial small subunit ribosomal RNA
Source: RNAcentral